GGAAUAUUGCACAAUGGGGGGAACCCUGAUGCAGCAACGCCGCGUGAGUGAAGAAGUAUUUCGGUAUGUAAAGCUAUAUCAGCAGGGAAGAUAAUGACGGUACCUGACUAAGAAGCUCCGGCUAAAUACGUGCCAGCAGCCGCGGUAAUACGUAUGGUGCAAGCGUUAUCCGGAUUUACUGGGUGUAAAGGGAGCGUAGGUGGUCUGGCAAGUCAGGAGUGAAAUACCGGGGCUCAACCCCGGAGCUGCUCGUGAAACUGUCGGACUAGAGUGCAGGAGGGGUAAGUGGAAUUCCUAGUGUAGCGGUGAAAUGCGUAGAUAUUAGGAGGAACACCGGUGGCGAAGGCGGCUUACUGGACUGUAACUGACACUGAGGCUCGAAAGCGUGGGGAGCAAACA
This 399-nucleotide ribosomal RNA is filed under the name uncultured bacterium. RNAcentral's name for it is "bacterial SSU rRNA". It matches the Rfam family "Bacterial small subunit ribosomal RNA", at positions 358 to 774 of the family's 1533-position model. The record is from RNAcentral.